RNAcentral lists this ribosomal RNA (337 nucleotides) under Cimex emarginatus. RNAcentral describes it as "partial 28S ribosomal RNA". It matches the Rfam family "Eukaryotic large subunit ribosomal RNA", at positions 662 to 965 of the family's 3401-position model. The record is from RNAcentral. Lineage: Eukaryota; Metazoa; Arthropoda; Insecta; Hemiptera; Cimicidae.
CGGACCAAGGAGUUUAGCGUGUGCGCAAGUCACUGGGUGGAAAACCUAAAGGCGAAAUGAAAGUAAAGGGGGCCUCUGGCCCCCGAGGGAAGAUGGGCGUCCGUCCUUCGCAGGCGGCGCCCCGCACUCCCGGGGCGUCUCUUUCUCGUUACGAGUGGAGGCGCACCUGUAGCGCACACGCUGAUACCCGAAAGAUGGUGAACUAUGCCUGGCCAGGACGAAGCCAGGGGAAACCCUGGUGGAGGUCCGCAGCGAUUCUGACGUGCAAAUCGAUCGUCGGAGCUGGGUAUAGGGGCGAAAGACCAAUCGAACCAUCUAGUAGCUGGUUCCUUCCGAA